GCCUCCGUAGCACAGCGGACAGUGUACGCCGCUGUGGUGCGGUAGGUACCGGGUUCGAGCCCCGGGAAAGGCA
This is a non-coding RNA of Henosepilachna vigintioctopunctata, 73 nucleotides long. NCBI's taxonomy places the organism in Eukaryota, Metazoa, Arthropoda, Insecta, Coleoptera, Coccinellidae. The record is from the annotation of a GenBank genome assembly.